This is a long non-coding RNA of Chelonia mydas (Green sea turtle), 3093 nucleotides long. RefSeq lists it as uncharacterized. The record is from RefSeq and is a predicted model, not a curated record. NCBI's taxonomy places the organism in Eukaryota, Metazoa, Chordata, Testudines, Cheloniidae. The transcript has 3 exons.
UGAGAAUUUACCAGCACAUGUGUACAGCAUUCAACUUAUACUGACAACAUCAUAGUGGCACAGUAAGACAAAUGCUCCUGGGAAAGUUUACAUGGCAGUCACAAAGGAGACAUGCUGUUCACACUUUUUGAUCUGGCAAGAAACUCUCCAAGAGCAUAAUACAAAGGAAACACAGCAUCAUACAAAGAUUCAAGAAUAAUUAAAUGCUUUGAUUUGAAGUCAAUGGAGCUAUGCCAAUUUACACCAGCUGAGGAUCCGACCCAUUAAGCUUAUAUUAUUUUAUAAAAUUCCUGCUAUAUUUCAACUGUCUGAGAUCUACUCAGUAAUAUACUGCUAUAAGGAUAGUAAAGACACACAGGCAGUCUAGGGAUCAGCAUUUCUCACUGAAGCAAAGAAAGGAAACUUCCCACAUUUUAGCUCUUUCAUUAUGCAAACAUAAAUCCACAAGAAGAAGCUACAGCAUCUUCAUUCUGUUUAUAAUUAAUAUUGUACCUCAAGCAGUCACCUGUGGAAAAGAGAGGUAUGAAAGGAUUUCAGCUUACUUUGAUAUUUAAGGUAUUUAGUGUCCUUUAAACAUAAAGUUUAAACAGGAGGAAAUCCAUAAUCUGCAAGAAUGUUCUUAGUUCAACAAAGUCUUUGAGUUGACAGCUAAUAAUUAAUUAACAAUGAACGGUGUCUUUCAGCCUGGCAUGAUGAUUGGCACUAUCAUCUUCUGAAAAGUGAGAGAUUUGUUAAGGUGGCAGACUACCAUCAGGGAAACAUUAAAGCUUCACAAUUCCCACUCCUUUCAGCUAAAUGCUUGACGUGACAGGUUAGAAUCACUUGAAAAAGAAGAGGAGGUGAAGAGAACAGCAGCAACAUCUGCUGGUAAAAGCAUUGUCUCCCAACACAAUCAGUCAUUUCACAACAAAAGAAAGACAGAUGUUAGGUUUAAUGGGCAGGAUUCUCCUCUCCCACUGGUAGAUCUGUCAGGUGAGGGAUUCCCUGGGUCUGUAGAGAGGCUCCAAGUCCUAUCCAUACACCUCUGCACAGAGACCACUCCUCCCGGGGAACUGAGUUAAUUCUGGGUGUUUGCCUGGCACUCCCCCGCCCCAGCCAAUCAAGUUUGUGCAGAGUAGUGGGGGAUGGAGAAAGGAAAGAAGCUCUCUUGCCAGCUCCUCACACCCACCACCAUAUAAACACGCCUGUCCCCAGGUAGCAGACACAUCCCUUGGCUUGCUCACCCUCAGUGUCACUGGAUCAGUCGAGUAGUAGGCCCUCAUAUUUGGCCUUUGGGAACAUCGGGGUGCUCCUGCCUCAUUGCUCUGUUCUCCCCUCUGCCCCAGGUUCAGGCUCGGGUGCCUCCUCCCUGCCCGGUUCUUCCCCUACCUCAGGGCCAGUCUCAGAUGUCUCCUCCCUGGGUGCCCUGGCCUCUACACCCUGCUCUUCCCCUGCCUUGGGGCCAGGACAAGGGCCGGGUGCUUCUGGUAGGGACAGAGCUCUCUCUACAGCUCCGCGUAUACCUGCAUUGACUUCGGUGGAGUUAAUCCUGGUGUACGUUGGUGCCAUCGCCCCGCAAGUGUAACACAACUAACUUCCUUACAGUUAUGAGUUAAAUGGAUAUCUCUGAUCACACCAUAUUCGUUGAUUUUUUUACACAGAAUGCCAUGCUUACAGAGCGCACAGAGUCCUGAUUAAGCAACUGGAAGACUUAGGGUAGGUCUGCACUGCUGCCACGCUGUGUGAUGGCAGCUCAUCCAGACGUACCCGGGCUCGCUUUAAUCUAACGAGCAGGGAAGCCACAACAGUGGGUUUCAGUGCAGGCUAGCUACCUGGGUGAUGAGCCAGGGGCCUGGGUGGGCCAGAAGCCCAGGCUGCCACAGCUUCACUGAUCUGGUAUCCCAACUAGCUAGAUUACAGUAAGCUCGCUGCAUGCACAAGAGCUGCAAUCAUACCCCACAGAUAUACCCAUAGCAAAAUAUGGCCUGCAACCAGAGUAAAUGAAAUACCCAAUCUCCUCGUCACUUCUACUGAGCACCCCGACAGAGUUAAGUGACAAUAGCUGCAGUGUUUGCAGAGAUACAGAGAGCUCUUCUUCAGAUCAGAAGCUUGUCUCUUUCACCACCAAGAAGCUGGCCCAAUAAAAGACAUUACCUCACCCACCUGGUCUCUCAAAUAGCUCUGGUGGAAAUUGUUUAAGCUCCUUAAGAAUCCUAUUAUAUUUUCUGUAUCGUAAAAAAAAAAAAAAAAAUGGGUGUGGAAAGGCACGAAUUAGAAGAAGCACAGCGAAAUGUAUGUUUGUUAUCAAGAUGGAAUUUGGAUUCCUCUGUAAUGAGUGUGAUGUAUCAACCGCCGUCUGUUAAUGCUACAUGUAAGCAAAUGGAUGCACAUAGUAUAGCAACUUGACAUCAGUGGGACUAAUGUGAGUACAGACUGCUUAGUAAGGGCCUUAAUUAACAAUUUUACAAAGGACAAUGAGAUGAUAACAAUUAUUCACUGCAAGCAGUCUUUUUUUCCCUCCAAUCCUUGGCCUUUGCAUGAGCUUACAUCCCAGAUAAAUAUUUUAUUCUGUACUGGCAGAAGGUUCAUUAUGUAAGUGACAAAAAGAAAGCAUCAAUUACCAUCAUACAUGGAUACUAAUGUACCUGGCUAAUGUAGUUAUAAUAUGUCAUUGCAAAACAUCUUGUCAGCAUUUUGUAAUUAAAAAAGAAAAGCUAUUGCAAUUGUAAAGACAACGCAUUUAGCAGAGACAAAUCUCACAUGUAAGAUGAUUUUUCAAAGCAAGAACAGACAUUCAUGUAGUAAGUAAAGCCUUGAUAACCUUGCCCUACGUACCUCAAUAACCGUUAUAUACUCUCUUUGGUUCAAUAAAGUGCCCCCUUUUUUCUCUAAAAUAGCACUAUCAGACGCUUACAAAUGACACUGGCCAAUCUGAAGGGUUACAUUUUUCAAGGGACACAAAAAAAAAAAAAAUAAUCCCUCCCUUUCUGUGGGGUCAACAGGAUGUUAUUUAUUUCCUUGAAACAAAGAGUCUUCUAAACUGCUGAGAGAUUUGUCAAAACAGGAUCACAUGCAAUAUAUUAAACAGCCAGAAUGGGAGAGUUUAUUAUUAGC